CAUUUAUACAAUAUGGUACGCAAAAAAAUAGAUUCUCGAUUAAGAACGUUAAUAGAAAAUGGCGUUAGAACAAAUCAAAGAUCCCUUGUUAUUCUAGUGGGGGAUCGAGGGCGUCAUCAAGUUGUUAAUCUUCAUUACAUCCUUUCUAAAUCCGUAGUAAAAGCUCGG
Zophobas morio is the source of this 168-nucleotide long non-coding RNA. RefSeq lists it as uncharacterized. NCBI's taxonomy places the organism in Eukaryota, Metazoa, Arthropoda, Insecta, Coleoptera, Tenebrionidae. The transcript has 3 exons. The record is from RefSeq and is a predicted model, not a curated record.